RNAcentral lists this long non-coding RNA (522 nucleotides) under Pan troglodytes (chimpanzee). RNAcentral describes it as "long non-coding RNA NONPTRT012457". Lineage: Eukaryota; Metazoa; Chordata; Mammalia; Primates; Hominidae. The record is from RNAcentral.
AGGAAAUCUUAUACAGGAUGGCACCUAAGAGGCACAAUUAAAGUGCUAAGAAAUCACUGCAGACAGAGAACCUGACACUGACAAGGAGAAUUACAUAUGCAUCAAUGAGGAGCUGGCAUUUUGGCUCAGUCUAGAAGUCAUAGGAAUUUUCCUGGAGAAAGUUUUUUCAAAGUGAAUAGCAUAUGCAAAAAUGGCACUUUGCUGAGAAGAAUUCUGAGUUCCUGUUUGAUGUCAACAGAAAGAAAUGCUAUAAUCAAUGUGUAGUGACAGCCAUACUAGUGACAAUAAGACCAGGCUCAAGACCAGGGAAGAGGGCAAAAAAGAAGCAGAGAGACCAUUUAAGAUACUAUAAUUCAAGUGAGAAAAGCUGGGGGAAUAGACCAAGGCCCAUGGAUCAAGAUGAGGACACUAGAAAGAGCAAGAAGAUGUCUGUUUUGAAAAUUAGCCCGAUAAGAUUUGUCAAUGGCUCAGCUUUCAAAUAAAGAUUUGAAUUAAGCCUUGGUAUGAAAAAAUAAACUGUUG